AAAAAAAAAAAAAAAUACUUUUGUCAACUAGUUUUAGUUUUACUUCCCAAAUAAAAUAUGGAUAAACAUCUAUAACAUCUAAGUAUUUGACUAUGAUCCCAUGUCACACUUGGUGACAUAUAUAGUGAGACGAUCUGCACUAAGCCAAAUCGCAAUGUUGAUAUGCUUUUCUUCUGAAGUCACGUUUAAUCUCAUCUCACUGAAAAUGUUACUACAUUUGACAGGUGUGGAAAAAUGGCUCGAGAAAAACAAGUUCUCGUGGUGGUUGAAGCCGGUGCCUGGAAAUGUGAAAAUGCGUCGUUUGGAGAUUAUGUUACCCACCAUUUCCUUCUGUGUGUAAUGCAUCUCACAUUCACAGAACUUUGUUUUGGAAGCAGACUCAGGAAAGGAAGAUGGAAGUUAACAGGAAGUUUAUUGACAACAGUGAGCGGUACAGAAAAAAGCAGGUGAGAGGACUGAUGGAUGAUACGAUGGGUGACAAGACAGAUACAAUGGAGAAGGAACAAGGACAAAGCUGGGAGAUUGCCGGAUGAGCUCCUGCGUCCAUUUGGGCUGAAGGUCAAGACAGAACCAAACCAAAGCUGGACUGUAACCUACUGGCCUAUAUGACAGACUUCAUACUGACAACUACUGGCAUGGAUGCUGCAUCACAUGUUUUUGAACAAAAAUUUUUCACUUUGAAUUUCAAGUGUGGAGUAUUAAUCCCCCAUGAGGAGACUCUAUGUCUUCAUCUCUUGUGAGUGGAUAUCAAUUUUAAACAUUCUUUUACAGAACUGCUCAUUUCUUCUGAAUUUAUUUUGUAGUAUGUAAGAAUUUUCCAUUUAAAAGAAAAUAAACUUUUAGUUGUGUUUUUAAGUAAUGAAGUAAUUGUGUUGUAAUCCUGUUAAUAUACAGUAUAAAUUGCAAACGUAUGCUUGGGCACGUGUUUACAGGUUAUAGACAUUUUAGAGGAGGUAGCUGUGUAUUUAAAGGUGCUCUUAGUCAUGUUUAUUUGUACAAUUUUAUUUUUGUAUAUAAAUCAUUAUUACAGUAGAACAAAUUGCUAUUUUUUUAUUUGUAAAUGAGCAACUGAACCAUUGCACAGCACCACUUUAUCACCAAUAAUUUUGUACAACUUUGUAGUUUAUUGUUUUAUGUCACCUAAGAACAAAUGCAAGUUUAUAUUUUCUUUCAGAUUAUGUAAUUUCUGUAAUAAAGUCUGUAUCAUGGGAACUUC
Molecule: long non-coding RNA, 1216 nt
Organism: Cyprinus carpio (common carp)
Lineage: Eukaryota; Metazoa; Chordata; Actinopteri; Cypriniformes; Cyprinidae
Exons: 3
Source: RefSeq, a predicted model, not a curated record